GUUUGGAGUGAAGUGCUAGCUGAGAUUAUUUCUCUCCCACUCUCCUUUCCUUCUCUCUCACAUCUACUCCUCUCUUUACCCUUCUUCGGCUUCUACUCACCAUUGGAGCACUCUCACAGCAGCAAACACCUGACAACAUGAGGAGUUCGAUUUCUCCUUGAAUUUUGAUGAUGUUUCGAAGCUUAGGAUUGUAGGAGAGAUGCAUGCACAGCUAGUUCUUGAAGUUAAGAGUUUUUGGAAGUCUCCAUUUCAUCAAAUCUUCUGGCAUUUUUGGAUUUAUUAAAGUUUUGGUAAAAGCUGCCAGUUUUUGAGAGCAAGUUGAGAUUUUGAUGGAUUUUCUCUAGAUUCUCUUGAAGCUAAGCUUUUUUUUGGUCGAGGAGAAUCUAAACUCAUCUAGAGCAAGUGGGAGCUUCGUUUGAGCUGAAUCAAAGGGCUUAGGAACACAGUUUGGAGUAUUGUGGUCUUCCUCAUUUCCUUGGUUCCCUCAUGGACUUUCUAGAAUAGCCGUAAGAGCCGCCGAAACUGAGCUACAGCGGUAGUAGUAGCAGCAACCUAGUACAGGGACAACAAUGAAGAAUUUUCGAAAUUUCUUUUGAUUGGGACUUUGUUGCUGCCAUUUGAAGGUUCCUGAGUGUUCCUAAGGUUGAGAGGAACCUAGGAUUUAAGUUUGAGCCGCCGAUUUGAGAUGAGCAUUGUUGAAUUUCAGUUUUUCUAAUUGAAUCGCCAUUUUGUUGGAAUUUAGCUUGAUUUUUUAUUUGGCUCAAUGUGACAGGGAUCCUUGAGAUUUUAUUAUUUUGUUUGGUGAUUUGGGAUCUGAGACAUGUGCCUGCUGAGUUUCAUCCCGAUCUGUUGUUGGAUUUGCGCUCUAGGUCGCUCCCCUCGAGUACCACUUUGGAGUUAAGUGGCUUGAUUACUUUUGGGUAUGUUCCACGUCGGCGAUCCACAAGUUGUUAGUGAGAUCAGAUGUGAUGCUAGUGCAGGCGGGAUUGGGCUUUCGAACCAGUCGGUUGAUUGGGUUAUUCUCCACGGAUUAUUAGAAUGGAUGCAUAUCAUUCCAUUUAUACUUGCUCAUUCCAUACUAGUGUAGAGGCAUAGCAGUGGUAGUUUUCCUUUCAGCGGUUAUAGGUGUUCUUUACCACUUUACCCUUUAUGCCUCUGGUAGACCUAGUGGGUGGGUUGUAGUUGUCGAUGUCGUACCCAUUGAGGACUACUGGUUCUUAGUAGUUCUCACACCCUCUGCUGACCCCUUUUGCAGAGACCUUUGCAGCGGUAGUGACCACUGUAAACUGAGAUAAGGGGAUCACUGACUAGAUACUCUCCUUCAUAUUUUGUGGGCCAGUUGUGGGCCCGAAUAUUAUUUUUUGUUAGACUACUAUACAUUUUGGGUUUGGCUUUUGCCAGGUGAUUGUAUUUAUUUUUAUACCUAGAUGAUCGAUCUUGUAUUCGGAUGAUGUUUUUGUACACUUCAGUCUUUAGCUAGUUUUAUACUUUAGCUCUGUUUUGCUCUUCCGAAUGGCUUUAUUAUUAUUUU
This is a long non-coding RNA of Ananas comosus (pineapple), 1531 nucleotides long. RefSeq lists it as uncharacterized. NCBI's taxonomy places the organism in Eukaryota, Viridiplantae, Streptophyta, Magnoliopsida, Poales, Bromeliaceae. The record is from RefSeq and is a predicted model, not a curated record. The transcript has 3 exons.